AAGGGAGACCUAAUUCAGGUAGGAGACGAAAAAAAAGUAGUCCCUACCAAGAAUCAAUCCCAAAAGGUCGGAGCGAGGCAAAAUUGGCUUUCAAACUAGGUUCUGGGUUCACACAAGACCUGAAUCAGGAACAAGGGCUAUUAGCUCAGGUGGUUAGAGCGCACCCCUGAUAAGGGUGAGGUCCCUGGUUCGAGUCCAGGAUGGCCCACCUGUACAGGUGGCAAAAACAAAGAAAAGAAGCGAGGAAUCAGCACCUUAUCUUACUUAUAUAGUAAGAGAGAAUGCUGGCUCUGAGUACAGAGUCCAGAGGAACCUUGAAAACUGCAUAGAGCUAGGUGAAAAAGCCAAAAAAGAAGACCACAA
RNAcentral lists this transfer RNA (363 nucleotides) under uncultured Microcystis sp. RNAcentral's name for it is "partial miscellaneous RNA". The stretch from base 135 to 208 matches the Rfam family "tRNA". Lineage: Bacteria; Bacillati; Cyanobacteriota; Cyanophyceae; Chroococcales; Microcystaceae. The record is from RNAcentral.